GUAGGUGGCAAGCGUUGUCCGGUAUUAUUGGGCGUAAAGCGCGCGCAGGUGGUUCUUUAAGUCUGAUGUGAAAGCCCCCGGCUCAACCGGGGAGGGUCAUUGGAAACUGGGGAACUUGAGUGCAGGAGAGGAAAGUGGAAUUCCACGUGUAGCGGUGAAAUGCGUAGAUAUGUGGAGGAACACCAGUGGCGAAGGCGACUUUCUGGCCUGUAACUGACACUGAGGCGCGAAAGCGUGGGGAGCAAACAGGGAUUAGAUACCCUGGUAGUCCACGCCGUAAACGAUGAGUGCUAAGUGUUGGGGGGGUUUCCCGCCCCUCAGUGCUGCAGCUAACGCAUUAAGCACUCCGCCUGGGGAGUACGGUCGCAAGACUG
RNAcentral lists this ribosomal RNA (374 nucleotides) under uncultured organism. RNAcentral's name for it is "partial 16S ribosomal RNA". It matches the Rfam family "Bacterial small subunit ribosomal RNA", at positions 527 to 896 of the family's 1533-position model. The record is from RNAcentral.